GGGGGCAGAGGGAAAACCGCCGGGGGAACAAUGCUGGCUUUCCAGAAGGGGCUGCGGUUGCUGAACGGGACCGUGAGGAGCCAGAUCAUCCCACGGGCAAAGAUGUCCGCCAAGUCUGGAAAGAACAGUCCAUUGGAAAACAUCAUUGGAUUCGUAGUGAUUUUUGGUGGCGGCUUUUUCCCAAUUUGUUGGGUUAUGGGCAAUCUGGACAGUUAUAAGUGAGAAGAAAAAGCUUUUGGAAUGUGGUCACAAAGAAGAAAAUGUCAAUAAGAAGAGCUAUUCUCAGAGGCUUUCAUUAUUAAAAAUAAAAUUUGAAAACUCAUAA
Python bivittatus (Burmese python) is the source of this 325-nucleotide long non-coding RNA. RefSeq lists it as uncharacterized. The record is from RefSeq and is a predicted model, not a curated record. Lineage: Eukaryota; Metazoa; Chordata; Lepidosauria; Squamata; Pythonidae.